GAUGAACGCUGGCGGCGUGCCUAAUACAUGCAAGUCGAGCGCACAGACGAGGAGCUUGCUCCUCUGACGUUAGCGGCGGACGGGUGAGUAACACGUGGAUAACCUACCUAUAAGACUGGGAUAACUUCGGGAAACCGGAGCUAAUACCGGAUAAUAUAUUGAACCGCAUGGUUCAAUAGUGAAAGACGGUUUUGCUGUCACUUAUAGAUGGAUCCGCGCCGCAUUAGCUAGUUGGUAAGGUAACGGCUUACCAAGGCAACGAUGCGUAGCCGACCUGAGAGGGUGAUCGGCCACACUGGAACUGAGACACGGUCCAGACUCCUACGGGAGGCAGCAGUAGGGAAUCGUCCGCAAUGGGCGAAAGCCUGACGGAGCAACGCCGCGUGGGUGAUGAAGGUCUUCGGAUCGUAAAACACUGUGAUUAGGGAAGAACAAAUGUGUAAGUAACUAGGCACGUCUUGACGGUACCUAAUCAGAAAGCCACGGCUAACUACGUG
This 497-nucleotide ribosomal RNA is filed under the name uncultured bacterium. Its description in RNAcentral is "partial 16S ribosomal RNA". It matches the Rfam family "Bacterial small subunit ribosomal RNA", at positions 28 to 507 of the family's 1533-position model. The record is from RNAcentral.